AAGGUAGUGGGCCUCUCUGGAGCAGGGCUGCCCAACUUACCCGCACCAAAUGCAUGGCUCAGUGAUUACCCUGCACCAGCUAUCCGCACCGGGGACCCCAGUCUGAAAUCCUGGCAUUUAUUAAAGGUGCAGCUGGUAUCCCAUGGGUUCGAAUGGGCUAGAGGGAAAAGAGCAGAGGCAAGGAGAGAAGAAAGGGCGGCUCUUGGUGGUAGUGAAUAGGCUGCAGAGAAAAAAGGUCUGAUGGGAUAGAGAAAUUGGGGAAGGUGUAUAGGAGAGAGGCAGAAAGGAGGGAUGAACUUGAAGUAGAUCAUUCCACCUGGAGGUCUAGGAUGCGGAACUGUUUGUGGGCUUUUGCUCUCUAAGCUGCGUAGCCCCAACCCUUACCUUCCCCACCUCUUGCAUCUCCAGGGGAAGGCCAGACCAGGCCACCAUAAUCCAAACUGGACAGUGGACAGGUGGUGUGGGUCAGCCGGGCCAGGGCUUAUCUAAGAUUGGGAAGGUCAGCGAUAUUGAAAUUCCCUACAGCUUCUAGCCCCAUCCUGUUUUACUUGCUUAUGGACAUUGCUUAAGCCCAGGGGGUUUGUGAUGCUAUUUAGAACUUAGGUGAGUAUGUUUCACAUACCUUCAGCGCUAUCUCACCUGCACCUUUCCACAACCCAGUGAGGAGGUUGGGUAAAGGUAAUUCCUAAGUAAAGGACCUUCUGGAUCCUGGCUGGGAUCUUUCCACUCUAUGUUGCUGGACUUGGGCUGGUCUGUUUCUAAUUGCAUAGGUAGAUUGUAGAAGGUUCCUGCCCUGUCCAGGCCCUCACCAAAAGCUUUCCAGAAGGAAAAGUCAAAUACAAUGGAUUUGGCCUGAUUAUUCCGUAUUGUUAAACAUAUUUUCUUAUGUGAAUGCUCAGUCUGGCAAUUGCCUUGACCUUUCUGGUUUAAUUACCAUAUCACAUCGAUUUAUUUCAUCCUUGUUCUGGAUGUUCUCAGUGCUUACCUGACCUUAACACUGAGUUCCCUCCAAAAAUCAGUGCUUACAUCUCUCCUAGCAGAGGACUAGGAUGCCCUACCCUUCCCUGACCUUUUCUCUGUCUCAUAAAAAUGUAAUAGUCUCUUCAUUUCUGGUCCUGCUCCAGCGCUUUCUGUAUAACUUUCAUGGACUAUAAACCUGGCAUCUUGGAUGUUAGUUGCUUUGUUACUCUCAUAAGCUAAGGUGAGAGCCAACCUGGGCUGCAAGCAGAUCUAGAAUUGAAGAAAGAUGCCAUUACUGGGCUCAUUCACUGAGUGUUGUCACUUGACUGAGCCACCUCUCCUCAUCUAUAAGGUACACCUGUACCUGUUUCAACGAAUCUGAUUUGUGGCAAAGCACCCCAGCAACUAUAACCACCAGAUGAAUGCAAUGGGGUGUUUUCAGGCAAACGAGAAUAAGAACAAGGAUUAUGAAACAGCUAGAAUGGAAAGUAUGCAAAGAGGAAUUUGGAAGAAAAAAUUUAAAUCUAUGCUAGCUUUAUUUGGUGUAGCAACACGUAAAAACAAUCCCUGUCCCCAGAGCUGCCUGUCUUCUAAAAUAAGACUUUUGGGGCAUGAAAUACACAAACUGGGGAUACAGAAUUGAAUGAUGGUGAUGGUGGAGUGAGCAGCUGGGUUCUCUUUGUUUUGUUUUGUUUUGUUUAAACUGUCCAGGACCAGGUUGGAAAAAGGCCUUGAGCAGCAUAGGGUGGGUGGGGCAUGUGGAAAGAGGACCUAAAGAGAGAGGCAGAAACAGGCUACUGAAAUCCAGAGAUACCUUGUCUAGGCUGUUGAGCAAGUGACUUUACCCCUUUGGGUGAUGGUUUGUUCCCCAGAGCAAGCGGAGUGACAGUUUAUGGACCAGGCACAGUCUGGGGAGAGACUGAUCAGAAGACAGUUUGGAUUCCCUGGAACAUUCCCAGGCAAUGUUCUGAGCCCAUCACAGUGCAGUCAUUCCUAACACCAGCCUGGAAACAGGUCGGAAGUCAAGAAAGUCAUUCUCGGGACAGUCUCGGAAGAUCAGGGGGACAAUCCGGGGCCUCAAUAGGGCAUUUUCUUUUUUCUGAAGAGGAAAAUAUCCAGGUAGUCAGGAUCCAUCUCCCUAGAAGGAUGGGGCAACUGUUACGUGGUCCUUCCACAGAAGUUAAACCCUGGCCUUGCCUAUAAUAAUACAAGUUGCUUGAUUUUUGCAGCUUACAAAGCACAUUCAUAUGUUUCACCUCAUUUCAUUCUCAGAUCAGCCCCGUAGGCACCUCUCAUUGCUCUGAGGUAUCAAACCUGGCUCAAGUGGCCGUGCUCAGACUUCAAAUCAGGAUCUGACCUCAAGUCUUCCCAGCUCACCUUCCUUCUCUUCCUGUUUCUACCUCUGAUCUCUUCCCUUUGUUGCUGCGGUGCUUCUCUUGUCUUUUCCUUGCUGUGGGCAAAAGGAACCCUCACCCACGCCCUAAGAGUGUGUCUGCUCUUUUCACAGCAGUCCCACCACUGCAGAACUGUUCAUCUUCAGCAACAAUUCAUCAAACAUUAAUUGAGUGUCUCCAUAGCUCUGAGCUGGGCCCAGACACAAAGAUGAAUUAUCCACAGACAGAGACCUGAAGCUGCGGGAUGUGCUCCCCUUGCUCUCUGUCAAGCUGGGGCUUGGAUCUGGACCCUCUGCCUCCAGACAUCAGCCCCCUAUCCCUAACCCUUGUUUCAGCAGCUGCUCCUGCCUGGUCUGCACUGGUGACCUCUUAGAAUCAAGGGAAGGUGAGAAGAGACCAGAGGUUUGUUCCACCUUUCAACCUGCUCUUAUGUUGUUCUUGUGAAAAGGCAACAGAUCUAAAGUGGAACUCUGGCCUCCUUUGGACAAGGCAGGAGGGUUGUAGUAUUUAGAGGCAGGGGACCUGGGUUCCAGUCCCAGCUUUAUGAAUUCCCGGGCCUGGAGGGCAGCUCCAUCUCCGCAGCUGAGAUCUGGGUGGGAGCCAUCCAGUUCCUGUGGUUGCAGCCUCAAUAUCCCCAGGAAGCAGUUCUGAGAUGGAAGUGGUGAAUGGCACCAAUUUCUUCAUGUCCAGGUUGCCUUUGCAGGGGCCUAUCUCCUAUGUAGCCCUGCCUUUCUGCCCUCAGGGUAGUGCAUGGACCCUGUGUUAUGGGGGAGGCUCUCACUGCAGGGCUCUUUGGCCACAGAGCACGGCCCUACCAGCCUCUUCUUUCUUUGGAGGGGACAUGGCAUAGGGGCUUCGUGCCCUGCCUGCAUCUCUCUGCUGCAGAAAGGAAGUCAACGUCCCUGUCUUGCUCUUCAGUUCCACUGGAGAAUGCAAGGGUCCCUCCUGUGCAUCUCCACACUCUUAGAUCACUUGUUCCGUAAAGUUCUGGUCUGCAGGGCUGCCACCUACUGCACUGUAUGCCCUGAGCUUGCCCGUCCUGCACUUUCCAAGUCCUGGGCCAAGUGCCCAGUUGUGCAGCAUUCGAUCAGAGAUUAGCCUUGCUCAGCAGAGGACAUGGGCACAGCCAUAAACAAAUCCUGGCACCAGGUGCUCAGUGGAUGGCGAGCAACUGUGAGUUGUACCCAGAGUUGGGCAGGGGCAGGGAAAAUAUCCCUGUGGAGAAGUUGACUGGCAUCAGAGCUGGGUGACGGCAGAAGCAGGAACUGGCAAAGAGCGAAGUGUGACAUGCACUUCGGAAUCUGGGUGUUCUGACUUCCCCACCUCACACACCUGCCCUGCCGGGUGUGUGCAGCUCUGCUUUCUUCACUUGUUUGCCAAUCCUUUCUCUUCCCCAUGUUCCAGGUCCUCUUUCUGGAAAGUCUCUGGCUUCUCUCCUGUUACACAAGGAUAGAGCGCGGUUCCAAUUCUUGGUCCAAAGACAAUGUUUGGGUUGGCCCUCCCUUGCCUUGAAUCCUGGUCUGCCUUAUACCUGCCAGACAUUCCUGUAACCCAGCAGGUGCUGGGAACCUUCUGCCAGCGUGUGAGACACAUUUAUGCAAUGGGAAGUGAGAGACAAAAAAUAAUCGACUCUCAGGGAGCAGGAUGCUCAUGUCGAAGGAAGCCUUUGUCUGAACAGCAGAUAACACUCAAGGACCUGCCUCACGAAGUUUGGUAAAGAUUCGUGGCUGAUGUAUGCAAGCCACUCCCGGGGCUCCGUGUCUCGCCUGCGUCACCUCAGCAGGUGGCAGCUGUAGCAACCACCAGCGUGGGGAUGCCGGAGAAGGCUUUUGGUGUUCCAGAGGCAGAAGCCAAGUUGUGUGAAACGCGGAAGAGGACAAGUGUCUGAUCAUGACUGCACAGUGGAAAAGUAUGAUAUCAGAGUGUGUUCAGCUGUGGGGUCCUGGGUCCAUUCAUUCCCUCGUGAGCCAUCUUAUGAGGCCCCGUUCCAGGCAAUGGGAUUAUUGCAGCAAACAAGACAGGUGCAGGCCUUCCCAACUGGGGCUUAUGCUCCAGUGGGGGACACAGGCCAUAAACAAGUGAGCACGUCACACGGUCUGAUGAUGACCCUUGAUGACUGCUAUGAAGAUCUAAUAGGACAUUGACCCAGGGAAGGCCCAGGGCUGGGAGAGCUCUUUUGGAUGUGAUGUUGGGAAAAGCCUCUUGGAGGUGAUAUUGAGGCUGAGUCCCGAGUGGAGGUGGCCCUGGUGUGGAAAGGAGCGUGGUAUGUUCAAGGGUGGUCCACACCAGGCCUGCUCGAAAAGCUGCCACACUGACCAUGGGCAAGGAGCUGAUCCAACAGACUGCUCGAUUUUCUGAAAUGGCAGGAAGCGUGUGGCACGUGAGAAAGGAGUCCUUAAAGGCAGCUGGACCUGGAUUUGAUCCUGGCUCUGCCACUUGGAGCCCAGGACUUUUCUUCCUGCAUCUUCAUCUCAAAAGUUGGGGCUUGAGGCCUAAGGGAGUAACAUGAACAACACUCCUGGCUCCCUGCCUGGCACACGCCUAUUACCCCUGGGCUCAGGGAGGUGAGGCUGCCCGUGAGCCUUCUGGAAAUGCCUGAGGAGCAACCCAGGUCAAGGCAGGGCUCUGUCAUCUGUCUGCUCCCUUGGAGCUGGAACCUGGACUGCAGGUCUCGGGUGUUGGGGAGGCAGCAGGAGCAGAGAUGAGUCCAUUUGUAAGCCACUGAAUCUUGCCUUUCAAUGAAACAAGAGGAAUCCAUUAGUUAUCAGCCGCUGCAGCUGCUUCUUAGGAAACUGCCUUACCAGGGACUUCCUGUUCAUUUCUCAAAGGCUGUGGUGUGAUGUGAGGAGGACCAAUGAAGGGGCUUUUUCAGGCCCAGCCCUGGGCCCUGACUUUGGCAGCUCCUCCAGGCCUCUCCCAGGGCCUUUCUUAUUUUGCAGAGGUGGCUGAGGCUGUGGUGGGGACUGCUCACCCCACCCAGAGCCGGCAAAACUGGUCACCACUGCAACCCCGGGCUCCUCCCUCCUCGCCACCCAGGGCCUCCUCCCUCCUCGCCCCCCAGGGCCUCCUCCCUGCCUGUCCCCCUGGGCCUCUUCCCUGCAUCCCCAGGGCCCUGGAACAGCACAUCUCUUUUCCGUGAAAAUACACUUGACCUGAUCCCCUGCUACUAUCCCUUGUCUGCUUGGCUAGUGGGUCGUAGGCAUUUUUU
Non-coding RNA from Chlorocebus sabaeus (green monkey), 5562 nucleotides. The record is from RefSeq and is a predicted model, not a curated record. Lineage: Eukaryota; Metazoa; Chordata; Mammalia; Primates; Cercopithecidae.